UUCCUGGUGACUCAGACGGUAAAGAAUCCACUUGCAAUGUGGAAGACUUAGGUUCAAUUCCUGGGUUGGAAA
This 72-nucleotide transfer RNA is filed under the name Ovis aries (sheep). It matches the Rfam family "tRNA". From Rfam's summary of the family: Transfer RNA (tRNA) molecules are approximately 80 nucleotides in length. Their secondary structure includes four short double-helical elements and three loops (D, anti-codon, and T loops). Further hydrogen bonds mediate the characteristic L-shaped molecular structure. tRNAs have two regions of fundamental functional importance: the anti-codon, which is responsible for specific mRNA codon recognition, and the 3' end, to which the tRNAs corresponding amino acid is attached (by aminoacyl-tRNA synthetases). tRNAs cope with the degeneracy of the genetic code in two manners: having more than one tRNA (with a specific anti-codon) for a particular amino acid; and 'wobble' base-pairing, i.e. permitting non-standard base-pairing at the 3rd anti-codon position. Lineage: Eukaryota; Metazoa; Chordata; Mammalia; Artiodactyla; Bovidae. The record is from Rfam by way of RNAcentral.